Molecule: ribosomal RNA, 484 nt
Filed under: uncultured bacterium
Lineage: Bacteria
Description: partial 16S ribosomal RNA
Rfam family: Bacterial small subunit ribosomal RNA
Source: RNAcentral
ACUCAAAGGAAUAGACGGGGGCCCGCACAAGCAGCGGAGCGUGUGGUUUAAUUCGACGCAACACGCAGAACCUUACCUAGGCUUGACAUGCACCUGCAACCGAUCGAAAGGUCGGUGCCUUCGAGGGUGGUGCACUGGUGCUGCAUGGCUGUCGUCAGCUCGUGUCGUGAGAUGUUGGGUUAAGUCCCGCAACGAGCGCAACCCUUGCCCGGUGUUACAUGUGUCACCGGGGACUGCCGUGGUGUAGACCACGGAGGAAGGCGGGGAUGACGUCAAGUCCGCAUGGCCCGUACGCCUAGGGCGACACACACGCUACAAUGGGUCGCGUAAUACGCUGCAACCGGGCAACCGGAAGCUAAUCGGGAAGCCGACCCGCAGUGCAGAUGGUGGGCUGCAACUCGCCCGCCUGAAGACGGAGUUGCUAGUAACCGCGUGUCAGCAAAGCGCGGUGAAUACGUACCCGGGCCUUGUACACACCGCCCGU